CAGCCUGCACAUGUCGACAGCAAGAAGGCAGAGGCUCACAAAAUGGGGGGAGAAACUGCACCAGCACCACUGACAGAUAAAGAGGAGAG
Sinocyclocheilus rhinocerous is the source of this 89-nucleotide long non-coding RNA. RefSeq lists it as uncharacterized. Lineage: Eukaryota; Metazoa; Chordata; Actinopteri; Cypriniformes; Cyprinidae. The record is from RefSeq and is a predicted model, not a curated record. The transcript has 3 exons.